UUUUUUUUUUUUUUUUUUUUUUACAGGCUUACCUGUUGUUAGAAGAGCAAAACUUCUCUUUAUCUUGUCUUGACAGAACCCUUGAGCAGCAUAGCUAUAUAGAGACCAUUUUCUAAAAGGCUUUGAGAAAACUAUUUGCCCACUCAAACACCGUCUGAGGUUAAUGACACCGUGGCAUCAAGUAUUAUGGCUAUUCUUUCCUGACAUCUUUUUGUUGCCUGCAGUGGAGACAACACUAAAAGACAGGUCUGAAGUCAGUUAUGUGAGCACAGAGGAAAAAGUCUUUUAUAUUUUUGAGCAGGGCCCUCAUGUGGAUUUUUUGUCUCUGCGAAGUAACACAGCACAGAAAAUCUCCCACUCACCAUAGUAAAAUAUUGGUAGAGCAAAUUCUGUAUAUUAAUUCAUUAACGCUUAUGUAAUGAGUGCCUGCUAUGUGUCAGAAACUGAAUGCAACACUGAAGACACAAAGUUAAGACAUGUCCCUUUUCUGAAGCCACCAAGGUUUAGUUAGGGAGACAUGUCCAUUUGAGAGAUGCUUAGAGACUUCUUGUUUGGACAUGUGGGUGUAGAGUCAUUUCUCCCAGCUUCUCUUCACCAAAUAUGACAAUAAACCCUGGAUAUAAUGCAAGAGGCAAUGGGAGGAGAACUCUGAAUGCUGGAAAGAGGAAGGGGAAAUGGUUUGUGAUGUCAAAACUAAAGGAAAAACACAGUGGCAGAGGUCCUACAACCUUUCACCUGGCAAAGAAAAGCUAUCCAGCCUCACGUGCUGAAUCUCCUAUCAGAGAUGAGAAGAGAACCCCUAACGGGUUCAUCCCUCCCCUGGGUCAAACAGGAAUUCAGGGAACAACACCAGGCAUGCAGGGCAAUGUGUGCAAGGGAUAGAGAUCAAGACCCACCCUGGAAAUCAGCAGGCAAGGCUCAGGAUCCUCUUCCACCCAGAGAAACUGGGAGGCCAGGUGACACCUGCCAUGGGGAGCCACAGCAGGCAGCCAGGCCCAGAGGGCUCUUUUGUCCCUGUGAACCUGAGACUCCAUUCCCUCAGGGGAGGUGACAGGGUGAGUGGGCAACAGUGGCAAAAAGGAUCCAGCUACAAUAAGAGUGUCCCGCAGCGGAACUCUCUGUCCUUGGCAGGGAGGGGGAGACUCCCACCACCUAGAGGCACACGGCUCUGGGGACUCCUACCUCCUCUCCAAGCACUGGAAGUGUCCAAUGGGAGCCCCAGUGGCACCAGAUGAACCAAGCAGGCAUAACUAGGACUCUAAAGUUUCUAAAAAUUAAAUUGUCCAAAAGAAAAAAGAAAAUAACAAGUGUGAGUGGGGAUGUGGAGAAAUUAGGGCCCUCAUAUGUGACUGGUAGGAUGGAAAAUGGUGCAACCACUGUGCAAAACUGGUUUUUUGAUGGCUCCUCAAAAAGUUAAACAUGGAAUUAAAACAUAAAAUAUAGGAUUACUUGGCAAUUCCACUCCUAUAUAUACACCCAAAAGAACUGAAGUCAGGUAUUCAGACAAACAUUUGUACACAGAUGUUCAUAGCAGCACUAUUUACAAUAGCCAAUGGGUGGAAAUAACCCAAAUGUCCAUCAACUGGUUCUCCAUCAACAGGUAAACAAAAUGCAGCAUAUCCAUAGAAUGGAAAAUCAUUCAGUCACAAAAAGUAAUAAAGUACUUAUACAUGCUACAACAUUCUAAAAGUUGAAAGCACUAUGCUAAGCGAAAGUGAAGUCAUGUGUUGUUUGAAUUUCAUUUCUGUAAAAUCUCUAGAAUAAGCAAAUCUAUAGACACAAAAGUAGACAGGGAGAUGAUUCCUAAAGGGUACAGAAUUUCUCAUUUCUGUGAUGAAAAUGUUUUAAAAUUGACUUUGGUGAUGGUUGCAUGUGUCAGUAAUUAUACUAAACCCCCCUGAAGUGUACAGUUAAAAAAAAAAAAUUAAUUGUCGCUGGAACCACAGUCUGCAGAGUUAAGCCAGGAGCUGUGGGCUCAACCCAAGCAGGUGACUGUCUGCUAAAAUAAAUUUAAAUAGGACCUAGAGUCUCCUAACAUAAUUAUCACAAGGUUGAUACAAUUAAAAAUCACACAUCAUACCAAGAAAAGAUGAUCAACCAAUGCCAACACCAAGAUGAAUAAGAUACUGGAAUUGUCUGACAAUCCUUGAUGAUCCUUUUAUGAAGCAUCCUUCAUAAAAAUGCUUCAACAAGAAAUUACACAUUCUCAGAGUUCCCGUAUACUCACAGGCCUUCCUUUUGUUAUAAGUAGCUAGUAUGGUUUUGCAUUGAAAUCACAAAAUGGGAGUUAGUGGUUGUUCCUUAUAAAAAGAUUUAUGAGCCACAAUUUCAAAAAAGACUAAAAAAGAGUGUAUGCAUGACUUUGUAGGAGCAAGACGCAUGCUCCUAUGAACUGGCUGAAGUGAAUUCUGAUAGUGACCAUGCACUGUGCUGAAUUACUUUGUCCCAUGUCUGAGGAAAUAAAGGGUUGAAUACUUUUAUUUUUAAAUACUGAAUUUUUGCUCUUGACUCUAGUUUUGUUUUCCUAAUUUAGUAGAAAUGCUGAGUAUUAUAUUUAGAAGAAUAUUUGUUCUUUGCAUCCUAUUGUUAUGUAAGUAAUAAGCAAGUGUGGCGACCAACAAUUUUUUUUGAGUUAUCACCAUACACAAGGCUCUAGGAACACAUAUUAUUGAGAAAUUCAGCUCUAAGAAAUUAUCACGUUUUUUAAAGACUAUUGCCACUUGAGGACAAUUGAUAUCUAGUUAAUGAUGUGGAACUCAGAAUAUGCUAAAAGCAACCAGCAUUUAUCCUGCUCCUCUUCAUGAAGAGGUUGCAAGCUGCGCACCACACUUUUGACUUAAAUAAGUGGAAUCAGCCAAAAUCCUGGAGGCUAGCAAUCCUACAGAAGAAAAGGACAAUAAGAAGGGAACCCUCCAUGUUUUUUAUUUUGUUUUCUCAUUUGUUAUUUUGGCUGUGUCCACGGCAUGUAGAGGUUCCUAGGCCAGGGAUUGAACCCAAGCCACAGCAGUGACACCAAAUCCUUAACUGCUAGGCCACCAGGGAACUCCUUCUCAUUUGUAUUUGCUAUGCUCAAACUUUCUAAAAUCCUCACCAAAUAUGGUGUAAUACUGUGGUUCAUAAUAAAAAAUACAUAUUUUGUCUUCAUUCCUCACACAGUGCUCUUAAAACUCUUGACAUUUCCUGAGAGAGAUAAACGUGUCACUUUUAUGUUAACUAGGUGACUUCCCAAAAGUCCCCAGGUCCCUUCAGGGUGGGAGCUGGCUGCCAGUGGUGCCAUUGAUGUGACUGGAAGGUUGAAACUUUCAGUUUCACCCACUGAUCUCCUGGGAGGCAAGAGGCGCCGGAGAUUGAGUUCAGUCACCAAUGGCCAAUGAGCUCACCAAGCUGCCUUUGUAAUGAAGCAUCCAUAAAACCCGAAGAGGAUGGGGUCCCAGUGGGUGAACACGUGGAGAUCCUGGGAGAGUGGCGAGGAAGAGGUGUGAAAGCUCUGCCCCCUUUCCCCACACCUUGCCCCGCAUGUCUCUUCCAUCUGACUGUUUCUGAGUUAUAUCCUUUUACAAUGAGCCAGUGCUCUAGUGAGGAAACCAUUUCCCUGAGUUCUGUGAGCCACUCUGGCAAAUUCAUCAAGCCCCAAUGGGGGGCUAAGGGAAAUUCUGCUCUACAGCUGGUCGGUCAGAAGCACAGGUGACAACUUGUCCUUGCCACUGGUGUCUGAAAGUAGGGGGUGGUCCUGUAGGAUCUGGUACCAUCCCCAGGAGAUAGUGUCAGAAUUGAGUUCAAUUGCAGGACACCCAGUUGGUGUGAGAGAAUUGCUUGGUGGUGGUGGUGGGGAAACCUGCACGUUGGAAUUGGGUGAAAAAUCCCACAUGGUCAUCCAAAGAGUCACUCAUCUACUUAGUUGUAUCUGUAGUUACAUAAUUGUGAGCCAAGUGUCCAUGUUUAGCAAUUAGAGCCCACAGAAAGGUAAUGUUUGUUCCUCUUCUUUUAUCAGGAAUCAACAGAUACAAUAAUAAUACCGUGAAAUCUAUUUUUCUACCAAACUCGGAGGGAUGUGCAGAAAGCAAAGAAAGCAUGAUGCACGCAAUGCCAAAGAAAUGAGGCUGUUCAUUGCCAGCGUGCUGCCACGCCUGUCACUGCUGUAGCAGCAAGAGCCGCUGCUUGUGCCAAAAACAUCCUCGCUGUGACACACCAUGCAGAUUUCAGCACUCCUGUCAGAGCAAACUAUAAAUAUAAAAAUUAACCCCAAAAGGGAUUUGUCACCAUCAGGGAGCAGAAAUAUUUCAAUUUCUG
This 4290-nucleotide long non-coding RNA is filed under the name Sus scrofa (pig). Its description in RNAcentral is "lncRNA (ENSSSCG00065037967.1)". Lineage: Eukaryota; Metazoa; Chordata; Mammalia; Artiodactyla; Suidae. The record is from RNAcentral.